CCAUUCACCAGCGUCAUGGAGACCUGAGGGUUCUCGUAUGCAAGGACGGAGAAGCAUUUUAACGCCUGCAUUCGUACCUUAAAGGAUGGUGACGUCAGCAGUGGCGCGAUGUUCUCGAUUGCGCCAUUGUUAAACAAAACUGUCUGAUGCUCUGGAGUCUGAACAAACACAGACAUGUAAAAAGCCUAGAUGACCUAAAGCAAGGUUUAACACUGCUCAGGAGCUACAACUGCACACCAAAGUAAUAACACAAGCAAGAGAGCACUUAAAUUAAACUGUUUAGGUCAGUGUUCUGUAAACUCUGUCAGGUCAAAAGAUUGGAACUGUCUAAAAAUAUUAAAAGAUUCGAUUAAAGUAAUGGUUUAGUGAAAUAAAUAUUUUCUGCUCUCCUCAAAUGAAGUAUACCAGGCUUGUUUAACAUGUAAGGUAAAUCUUUUUAAGUAAAUACCUGUCCAAAUCAUAUUAUUAUGUAUGUAGCUAUGUAAUCUCAUAUUUAAAUUGAAAAAUUGCAAUAUAGCCAUGGUGGAGCUUUUUUUUUUUUUUUUUUUUU
Long non-coding RNA from Pangasianodon hypophthalmus (striped catfish), 550 nucleotides. RefSeq lists it as uncharacterized. NCBI's taxonomy places the organism in Eukaryota, Metazoa, Chordata, Actinopteri, Siluriformes, Pangasiidae. The transcript is spliced from 2 exons. The record is from RefSeq and is a predicted model, not a curated record.